CUUGUGUAUUACAAUGAGAAAAUAAACCUAUUUAUACUAAAAACCUAGCAAGUAGUUUGAAAAGGAAUAAAACUCUAAAAAUAUAGAAGUUGCCAAAAUUAAGAAUUCUAGACAAAAUAAAACUCCUAUGAAUAUAGAAAUUACAAAAAAUAAAGAAUUCUAGCCAAAACUAACAACUCGUGAAUUUUGGAAACUCUCUGCCGGAAUUGAUGUUGCGGAUCAUAUCAGUCCCUCUCUCUUCGAAAGGAUUCGACCUCAAAUCCAAACCUUGAAUGUUCAAAUUAUAGCCUUUAUUUCCAAUCAACGCAGGAACAUGAAAUGGUCCAUCUCCCCUCAGAUGCAAUUUGGACCACUUUUGAAUUCGAACCCUUCUCUUGCAUAUGUAAAUCCAAUCUCCUUUACAUGGAUCAAAAUGUGUAUGUUUUGAAGGCUUCCUCUUGUCAUUUUGUGAUGCUCUAAGAAUGAUUUCAGCUGAUAAAUCACCGUUCAUAGGUGAUUGUAGUAACGACAAUUCAAAUUGAUACAUAUUUCCCGGCAUACCAAUUUUGUAGUUCAAUCCAUUGCAUAGGAACUCCUUGCAAACAAAUUCCUUCAAUCGCAUUUGAAACUCCGUUGUCUCCUUGGGAAUCACAAAUACAAUCUCCGGUAUAUAUGACAUCUCCCAAGCAAGAUGCGGUUGUUGUUGAAGUUUAUACACCAUUUCAUAAUCAAUGCCUGGGUUAUAAGGGAUUCCGAUCUGAUUGAUUUCUGGAAUCGAAUCUUCGCUAUCCUACAAAAUAGAAUUAUUCAAAAUGGGGAGGGAAGUGUUAGUUAUCGCCAACGCCUCCUCCACUCCACUCUCCUUUUCCACCUCCAAAGACUUUCCCUCAUUUUGUUGUAGCGCCACUUCUAAUUUAACCACUUCUUCAUUCUUAUUUUUACCCUCAACCUCCUUUUCAUUUUUCCAUGGCUCUUCUCCCUUUUUCUCACAAUCAACCACCUCACUAAUUUUAUUUUUACUCUUUUGCAUAUUUGGAUGAUUAAUUUGAGACCUAAGAAUGUCGAGAAUCUCGGAGAAUUCAUGUUUAUAAUCCACCACAGUCCUCUUGCUUGAUGUACUACCCGUACACUUUGCACCAGUUGUUUUCUUUUCCACUGGAUAAUCAUCUCCAUAGCAUCUCCUAGGCUUCUCCCUAAAUUCGACUUCUCGCCAAUCUCUCCUAUAAUAAUUUGUAUCCUUUCUCCCAUGCCUAUCGCCUCUAUUUCUCGAUUCCCAUACUUUAUCAAUGCCACAACCAUAUCCAUAUUCAUCACAAUUUUUCAUCCUAGGUUCUCGUAUCCUCACAUUGAACCCCUCAUCUCAUUGAUUCUUAUGAAUACUUUUCAAUUUCACAUCCAACCUAUUCGAUUUAUUUUCUAUAUUCUGAACCAUCAUCUCAAACCUCUGUAUCAUCCUUUUCGACAUUUGGAAUUGACUUUGACGUGAAUUUGACAUUUUUUUUGACUACUUUUCUGACUCUUUUUUUAUUUUUAUUUUUACUCUUGUUUGACUCUUUUUUUUCUUUGACUCUUUUUUUUUCAACUUUUUUUUUUGAUGCCGUACGGAUGAACAGUAAAACACAACUAGGUUACUAAAGAUUUUGGAUCUAAGACUCCACAAACUGAAAGGAAAAAACUACAAAAACUCGAAGAACACAAAUAAUAAAACAAAGACUCGAUAAAAAAAUAAAAAGAUAUAAACCUCGAUCUUGGUGCCUUAGCUCUGAUACCAAAUAAUGCGAACCCGAUUAGUAAGGUCGCUAUUGAAUCCACAGGAAUUGACAUCGGAUCCCAAGAAUGUCAAAAUAUGUCCAAGAUUUAGGAAUCGACCCGCAAAAGUGAAUCAAGCAACCGAAUGUAUAUGAAACGAACGACUUUUUAAUCACAUAAUCUUGAAAUCUCAUCCAGAUUUGUGAAUUUGAAUUCCGAAAUAUUGAAUUAAGCAACCAAAGGUAUAUUAAACCAAUGACCUCUUAAUUACACAAUAACGAAAUUGCACCCGAUAAUUUUGAACACCACAAGGAAAUUAAUCCCUUGAUAAGUUCGACCCCUUCAUUGAAGAACAAAGCUUGAAAGGAGAAAAUUUCAAUAAUUC
RNAcentral lists this long non-coding RNA (2113 nucleotides) under Olea europaea subsp. europaea. Lineage: Eukaryota; Viridiplantae; Streptophyta; Magnoliopsida; Lamiales; Oleaceae. The record is from RNAcentral.